Molecule: transfer RNA, 74 nt
Filed under: Candidatus Omnitrophota bacterium
Lineage: Bacteria; Pseudomonadati; Candidatus Omnitrophota
Description: Candidatus Omnitrophica bacterium tRNA-Val
Rfam family: tRNA
About the family: Transfer RNA (tRNA) molecules are approximately 80 nucleotides in length.
Source: RNAcentral
GGGCUCAUAGCUCAGUUGGUUAGAGCGUUUGCUUGACAUGCAAAAGGUCAGAGGUUCGAGUCCUCUUGGGCCCA